Neopelma chrysocephalum (saffron-crested tyrant-manakin) is the source of this 145-nucleotide long non-coding RNA. RefSeq lists it as uncharacterized. The record is from RefSeq and is a predicted model, not a curated record. The transcript is spliced from 3 exons. Lineage: Eukaryota; Metazoa; Chordata; Aves; Passeriformes; Pipridae.
CAUCUUGACAGUCAGUUUCUGCCCGUUGCCUCAUCCCAUUGCUCGGCACCACCGAGCAGAGCCUGGUUCAUCUUCUGACACCCUCCCUGCAGAUACUGACAGACAUUGAUGAACUCCCCUCUCAGCUGUCUCUUUUCCAGGCUGA